Molecule: long non-coding RNA, 669 nt
Organism: Centruroides sculpturatus (bark scorpion)
Lineage: Eukaryota; Metazoa; Arthropoda; Arachnida; Scorpiones; Buthidae
Exons: 3
Source: RefSeq, a predicted model, not a curated record
UUAUUCGCCUUCCAUUAUUAUCCCAUACUUCUUUUAUAUAAUUACCAACUGUCUCAAAUUAUAACCGAGAAAAUCUCGAUUUUCAUCGAUUGCAAUGGGAAUAACUACAUGAUGACUUCUUAACGAAGAUAAAAGAUCAUCUGAAAGAUAAGUAUUUAAUCUUAUUGGCAUUGAAUUAUACAAAACGAAUGUAAAAUAUUAAUAGAAUGAAACGAAUUUUACUAUAUAAUACUUUAUUUAGGUUAAGAGAUAAUUUACAUCAUAUGUCAUAGGACAAUGAUCUAACUCCCACGCCUCAUUAACCAGACAGCGCGACUACUACUUCGCCUGCAAUGGAUAUCACGUGUAUUCUUAAAAUUAGAGUUGACUGACCAGUUCUUACGUGAAAAGAUGUAUUUUAUUAUUAAAUGAACUUGUUAAGUUAAUUUCUAUAUCAAGAGCUAUAGCAGCGGUUACGAUAAGGGAUCCAAAGAAGCAAGUUUUAUUAAGCUGAAUCAUGAUUAAAAAUUUUUCAACCAGCUUAUCCAGAAGUGUAUAUAAUUAUAUCUGCAAAACAUAAAACAUUAAAUCGUAUCGAAGGAAACUUCGCCUCGAAUUCAAUCAAGUGGUAAAACAUCUGGAUACUUCUCCGGACAGACGUAAAAAAAAAGAAGAAGACGACCUGCUAGA